CUAAUGUUUUAGUAAAGGUGUCAUUCAUGCUGCUGCUCCUCUGUUUGCUUUACAACUACAUCAUAUUCUAGCCUUGAAAACCUCCUGGACAUUGAUUUCUUUUAUGGAUUUAAAGGAACACUGCUUCAGAGUGACAACAUCGAUGGCAAACCUAACGAAUUACCCCAGGUAUUAUGAUCAACCAGGAAAUUUUGUGGCCAAGUAUCUCUAGAGAGCAUUCAGCAGGAAAUCCAGCCAACCAGGGUGAUUCUGGGAAUCACAGGUUGUCAUUGUCCCUGGCACUAAGAGCAGAAAGGCAAAUAUGGUGCCAGUGACUCAGACCUGCAUUGCUGGUACCUCACUGGGGAGAUGCAGUGCAGGAAGGGACCUGCCAUCCUCAGCCCCUGCUUGGUACCUGUAAGCACUGAGUUUUCUGUCACCCUGCCCUUUUCCCUGUGGGUUGCCUGGUCCUUCUCUCCUAGCAAACACAGAGAAUCAACAUCGUUGAUUCAGCUGGACUUUGAACUGAAGUGUGUUUCCAUAUUUCUGAGCCUUGGGAUCCCAUGUGUGCCACAUUUGAAAGCAGAAUCUGUACUGACAAGUACCCAGGAAGAGUAUGGGAGAGUCAAGGGAUCCUGAAGGGCAGAAAGCCCAAGCCAGCCCCAGAAGCCUCUUGUUGGAAAAUAAAGGACUGAGUGAAAAUUGAAGAAAAAAAAAU
RNAcentral lists this long non-coding RNA (697 nucleotides) under Junco hyemalis (dark-eyed junco). RNAcentral's name for it is "lncRNA (ENSJHYG00000007801.1)". Lineage: Eukaryota; Metazoa; Chordata; Aves; Passeriformes; Passerellidae. The record is from RNAcentral.